Molecule: long non-coding RNA, 5837 nt
Filed under: Sus scrofa (pig)
Lineage: Eukaryota; Metazoa; Chordata; Mammalia; Artiodactyla; Suidae
Description: lncRNA (ENSSSCG00005022030.1)
Source: RNAcentral
CUCUGCUUCCCUUUCUGCAGAUGCUCAGCUGAGCCAGUGCAGCUGGCUCCCUGACAAAUGUGGAAAAAUCAGCCAAUUUGAGCUGGUUGUUAGCAGCCCGGGCACGGAGGCUCACAGAAAUGAGGGGCUGCCUCAGGUGUGGCAGGAGAUCUUCUGGAGGAGGAAGUGCACUGCCCGCAGGAUCUCAGCCACGCCCCCUUCUAUAUCUGGGCUCUGGGUUCUGAGGAAGGUGCCCUUCCAAGAGAGAUCCCCUUUCUUGGUUCCUUCGCCCCCCUCUCCAACUUGAUAAGCUCUCCAUCAGCCUGAUGGGGUUUCAUCUUGCUCUCCUAGCGAAACACCUGCAGAAUAAGAACUCUGGUCCUCAAGUGUCUGAGUACACAUCUGAUGGCCCAAUUCAAGGCCUCAGAAGACGGAUGUGUAUUACUUUUCAGGUCACCGCAUCCAACCCAAGUCAGUGGACACACCCCCUGGCAGUACACCCUUGUGGUUUCCCCACAAGACAGCAAAGGCUGCUGCUCUGUAAAUGUUCAUAAGACCAAAGAGUGUGCCACACACAUUUCUGUACAUUGUUAUGUCCACACGCAGAGUACAAACAUGAAAAAAGGAGCCUCCAUCCGGCCAUUCAGCUAAUACUUUACACGGAGUUCAGGGUAAAGAGAGUUUUCCUGUAAGGAGCUGUCCAUGUUCCUUAUUAAACUGUCCACUUUUUCUGUGAUUCCUGUUUAGGGGUUAUUUGCUAAUUAAAUAAAAAGACACAAAUGAGCAACUAAGAUAUUGAAAGAAGGGCUGACAUAAGGGAUGUUUCUAAGAGGACAGAAAUGUUCCAGAUCUUAUUUGAGGGGUGGUUUUAUGAGUGUAUACAAUUGUCAAAACUCAUCAAACUGGAUACUUCAGAUUUGUGCAAUUUGUUUUGAUGUCCCCUAUGGCAUGCACACGUUCCUGGGCCUAGGACUGAACUUGCACCAUGGCAGAGACCUGAGCCACAGCAGGGAUAAUGCUAGAUCUUUAACCCGCUAGGCUACCAUCUGUGGAUUUCAUCUUCAUUACAUCUGCAUAAAAACUUAAAAUGUAAAAUUCAUCUUUUAGUAACAACCAUUGUGUCUACAUAGGUCAUCUCUACCAGCAUGCUGAAGCAGCUGCUACUGUAAAAAUGCACAGGAGAAACAUCAGUUACUCUUUACAUAAUGGAAUACUUUCCAAAGAACUGAAACUAAUUCCUAUAGGAUCCUCAAAUACAUUUUAACAGCUUGUAAAAAUCCACAGUAGCCUAGAAUGAUGUUUUUGGAGGGAGAGAUGAUAAUGUUAUAUGUUACAUAUGAGUUGACUGGUUAUUGCUAUUCUUAUAUAGUAGGUGCUUGACUUAGUGUCAAAAGCCUUGAUGUGGGGAGUCUGGGCAGACAGUAUGGAAGGGAGGGCAACAAAGUUGGUUUGCUUGAACCAUACUGAUUUGCAGGUGAAAUGAUAACAUCUGUUCAAUUCAGGAAUAAAAUGAGAGAAAUUUAAGAGGUGAAAAAGCAUUGGAUUAUACAGUCUAAUUCCCUCAUUAUAUCAACAGAAAAACUGAAGCUCAGAGAAGGAAAGCAAUUUUCCCAAGAAUACAUAGCCAUUUUCUGCCAAACAUGGCUCUCCUGGCUCUCAAGUUUGUUUCUCCUUCCAGUUUUUCAUUACUCAUUUUAAAUUUCCCUUUGUGGCUCAGUGGUAAUGAGCCCAACUAGCAUCCACGAGGACUCUGGUUCAAUCCCUGGCCUCGCUCAGUGUGUUAAGGAUCCAGCAUUGCUGUGAGCUGUGGUGUACAUUCCACAAAUGCAGCUCAGAUCCCACAUUGCUGUGGCUGUGGUGUAGGCCGGCAGCUACAGCUCCAAUUUCACCCUUAGCCUAGGAACUUCCAUAUGCUGUGGGGGCAGCCCUAAAAACCAACCAACCAACCAACCAACCAACAAACAAAAAACUAAGCCAGUCUAGGGUUAUACUCAGUUCUGCAUGUUUCUGUUCAUAUAAAGUAUCGCUGUAUAUCUUCUCUAUAAUAGUUACAGCUUUUAGGAACUCUACUUCAUGUUUGCUGAUAUCCCAUUCCUAGAAUAAAGGUUCUCAAAGGCAGUUUUAUCAUCCCAAACCCUCGUUUUCUCCUGUUUGGACCUCAGCGUUUCCUUUAACUUUGUUUCCCUGAUUGCCAAGUUAUCCUUUUCUCUGUAGCUCUAAGAAUUGCCAAUGAUAAGGUAAAAGAACCAUAAUCUCAUGAAAACCAAUGACUAUGUUUAACAAUAAUAAUAAUAAUAAUAAACAUACUCUUGGCCACUGUUCCUGGAGAGAUUGAGCCACAGUGAACAGAGGCUGACAGGAUGUUCAGGUCCCCAGCAGCCACACUGAAGGUGAGUGACUUACUGCCCACACACAGAACUGAACCCACUCGAGAGACAGUGGCUGUUUGCGGGACCCAGAACCCAAUGACCAACCAUACUAGAUCCUUUAUUUAUUUAUUUAUUUAUUUAUUUAUUUUGUCUUUUUGCCUUUUCUAGGGCCACUCCCGAGGUAUAUGGAGGUUCCCAGGCUAGGGGUCUAAUCGGAGCCGUAGCCACUGGCCUACACCAGAGCCACAGCAACAUGGGAUCCGAGCCGCACCUGCAACCCACACCACAACCUCACGGCAAUGCCAGAUCCUUACCCCACUGAGCGAGGCCAGGGACCGAACCCGCAACCUCAUGGUUCCUAGUUGGAUUCAUUAACCACUGAGCCACGAUGGGAACUCCACUACAUCUUAUUAUUGUUGACAGCAGCCCAGAGCUAGAAGGGAGCUGAAUCAUCAUCAAACGUGAUGGUUCUCAAGCAGAUUUUAGUUUUGUUUUUACUUUUAAGCAGAAUUUAUUUUAAAAUUAAAUCUUAUAUGCACUCUUGGCAUAGCAAACAAAAUUGGGGAAAACUGCUUGCUGGACAGUUACAAAUCCCCAAAAUUUGAUGAAAGGAUUCACCCCAUUGCUUGUGCAGCCUGAAAACUCUGCUCAGGGAGGCUUCUUGGGUACACUUGACUAUAGGGAUUCUUCUUGGUGACGGGGAGCUGACUACUGCUAAGGUUCACCCCACUACUGGCAGCCCAGAUUCUUAAGGGGUUUCUUCCCAACACAUAGCUGCAGUCUUUCCCCAGGGAGCUCAUACUCAUGGAUAUACUCUUGAAACCAAAUUUUUAAAAAUCCCCACUUCACAUGGAAAAAAUCUUCAUAUAUUCGAAAGGAGCAAGCAUGGUGUAUUUAGACACGCUCUUCAUUAUAUGAUGGGCUGUGUACACACCUGCCCUCUCACACAGUGGUUCAACCUUAAACCGGCUCUGCUCCGUACCCCUCCUACCCCGGCUUCCUGUACAUGUGUAGCCUGGGGGGCUAAGGCUUCCAAAGGACCCAUGGGGCCUUGGUGCUUGUGGGCAAGAAGAGAAGGAAGGGAUUUUGCUGCUGGGUUCUCAUUUUUUUUUUCUACUAGCUUCAAAGCAGACUCCACCCUUCCUGAAUAGAGGACCAUGAAGACUGGCUUGUGGCCAUUUCGAAUUACAUCAGAUUCUGGGGGCAAAUUUGAAACAGACUUGACAUGUUAAAAGAACACGAAAACAGCUGAAUUGCAGGCAAAAAAAUUAAUCUGCUCCUCAUCCCUCCUCCAAAGGCCUCCUGGCAGUGAGAGCUACUUUGAGGCUGCGAGCAAGACUUCCUGUACAGUCACGUUCAAUGCUUAGAGCCGAUCAACAGCUGGAAAGGCAAACUGUUUUUUAGCGUGAAUAUUUCACAGUUCAAAUCACUUAACAGAUGUAAAAUUAUAGGAUAUACUUAGCAUUUAGGGGUUUUUUUAUUAUUAGCUAAAGAAGAUCUUUUGGGAAGACACUUUUGAUGUUUAGUCCUUCUUGAUGACGGUGGCAAGAAUUUUUUAAAUGUUCUUUAUCCUCAAGAAACAUGUUUAAUCAUUAGAGUUGACCAUACUUUCAUCAGCUUACCAUGUGGUUUAUACAGGUUUACCUAAGAUUAACUGGACAUUUUAAGGCACUCCAUACACAAAUACUGAGAGUGAAUGCAGAAUGUCCUGUAGACCAGCCAACUAGUGUAAAGGAUGAGAGGGUUUAAAUGAUGUCAGGCGUAAAGUGAACAUCCCAUCAGCAUAACUAUUAACCAUGCGCUGAGAGAAGCCUGAGGUUCUAGAGAUGCCCAGGGUCGAGGGCUCAGAGGCAAGGAGGGCGUGUGCAGGACAGUGGUCAGGACAGCAGGUGGAGGCCCUGGCUGGCAGUGCCCUUCAAGGAGGGGCAGAGGGAGUGGAGGGGAUUUACACAGGAGGCCCAGAGCUGCUACCUAUUCGGGAAAGUCAGGUGAGGACAGGUUCGUGGACGUAGGGUGGCUUCGACUGCAGAAGAAAAGACAAAGGGCAACAUGAUGACUAUGAUCAUGGAUGUGACUGACUUUCUUAAGAGACAUUUGGGAAACUAAGUGAGAGCGAGAAAUACUAUGAUCAUGGGCAUGGGGGGAGGGAGAAGCCAGCCGAGAGGGAAGAGAUCAGCCAGGGAACGAGGAGGCCUGCGUGGACCCACUGGUCCCCGACAAGCCAAGACACCAGGAAUAAACAUCUUACCCACUGCAGGCCUCAGUUUCCUCAACUGUAGGGUGUGAAGGUGGCCGCAGAGGAGUUCUAAGAUUCCUCCCAGCUCAAGAGAAUGUUUUCAUUAAAAAGUAAACUAAAAAAGUAAAACCAGAACAUUUUCUCUUACAUGAGGUUAAUCAAGAGUACCAAGUAGGUUGCUGAGGAUGCUUCAUUUUCCAUCUCCUUCCUCAAGAACAAUCUGUCCACCCUAAUGGUUUCUUGAAGGUCCUUCCAACAUUCUGGUGCUGGCCUGCCUUUCCCCCCACUUGCUGGCCCAUCACUCCAUCAGUCACUGCUGGAACAGAGAGAUACUUCCUAACCCAUGGUCUGUUGGAGGAACUGAUGCUUUUGAAAAAUGAAUGCCAAAUCCUUGUGGGAAGGGAAGAGUGUGCUAUAGAAAGGUCAUUAGUAACUCAACUUAGAGCUCAGCUUCCCAUUGGGAAGAGCAACCAACUAAUAAGAGGCCUGCCGCCUGAGCAAGGUAUGGGCUCCAAGAGGCAAGAGCAAGCAUUCGGAGCUGAAAUUUUAGAUCCCAAAGAAAGGCAUGAACACGUGUCAGGUGUUGCUCUGGGCAAGUUGGCUUGUGAUGGAUUUAAUCGUAUGGUGUCCCUGGGGAGAUGGACGUUUAUUAUCUCCACGUCCUAAGUGAGGGAGCUGAAGUUCAGAGAGGUCAAGAAGUCUGCUCCAGAUCACACGAGCACAUUGAGAAGUCACCCUUCCCUCAGCUAUCCACUGAGUGCUGACUGGGUCCUAGACACUGUGGGAUACAGUGGGCCAUGCCACCAUGGCCUCUGCCUUGACAAGAGUUUUCUUUCUAAUGGGGGGAGGGGGGAGCAGCUGUGAACACUCCAGCUAAUGAUGAAGAUAUAUUUGGGAGCAUGAAAUACGACACAAAUAAAACCAGGGAAUAUGACAGAGUGUGACUGAGGGACGAUGUCUAUGCGGCAAAGGGAAAAACAGCUCUUUGAAAAAGUGACAUUUAACCAAGAACAGGAUGACAAAAAGGACCAAGCCAUGCAAAGCUUGGGGCAAGAGUCAGAUCCAGUGAAUGAGAGAAAAGUGCAACGGUUAUAUGACGGAAACAGCAAAUAUCAAACAGUAUGUAGCCAAAAGGGGCAGUCAGUGGACAGGAGAGGCAGCUGGGAAACUGGCUGCUGACUAAUAAGGUCCUCUCACUAGCUGCUGGGCUGUUGAGGUGGGUCAGCUGGUUUCAUUCUUGUCUUUUUUUUUUU